Molecule: long non-coding RNA, 536 nt
Organism: Oreochromis niloticus (Nile tilapia)
Lineage: Eukaryota; Metazoa; Chordata; Actinopteri; Cichliformes; Cichlidae
Exons: 4
Source: RefSeq, a predicted model, not a curated record
GUCCAACCCCUCCCAUCUGAGAGAGCUGGACCUGAGUAACAACAACCAGCUGCAGGAUUCAGGAGUGAAGCAUCUGUGUGGUUUCCUGGAGAGUCCAGGAUGUAAACUUGAAACUCUGUUUUUGAAGGGCUGUGGUUUGUCAGAGAUCAGCUGUGAUUAUCUGGCAGCAGCACUGAAGUCCAACCCCUCCCAUCUGAGACUGCUGGACGUGGGCUACAACAAGAACCUGCAGGAUUCAGGAGUGAAGCAUCUUUGUGGUUUCCUGGAGAGUCCAGGAUGUAAACUUGAAACUCUGAGAUUGAAGUACUCUCGUUUGUCAAAGAUCAGCUGUGAUUAUCUGGCAGCAGCACUGAAGUCCAACCCCUCCCAUCUGAGAGAUGUGGACCUGUGGGACAACAACCUGACGUAUCCAGAUGUGAAGCAGCUGUCUGAUCUUCAGCAGAGUCCAGACUACAGACUGGAGACUCUGGGGUGGGGAUGAUGAUGGUAAACAGGACGGUGUGUGUGCUGAGAGAGGAGCAGCUGUGUCCUGAUGA